GCCCCUGUAGCUCAGUCGCAGAGCGCUUGCCUCGUAAGCAGGAGGUCGAGGGUUCAAAUCCCUCCAGGGGCU
Molecule: transfer RNA, 72 nt
Filed under: Candidatus Woesearchaeota archaeon
Lineage: Archaea; Nanobdellati; Candidatus Woesearchaeota
Description: tRNA-Thr
Rfam family: tRNA
About the family: Transfer RNA (tRNA) molecules are approximately 80 nucleotides in length. Their secondary structure includes four short double-helical elements and three loops (D, anti-codon, and T loops).
Source: RNAcentral